CUUAGGCUUAGCUGAUGCUCUUGCUCUCUCUCUCGUUCUAUCCCUCUUGCUGCCCAAGCAGAUCGACUUGCAAGCUUCGAUUGUCUCGAGACGCAUACUUGCUUAGCAGACCGGCAGAUAUUCUCUUGGUACAGCGGCCAUAGCUAGAUGAGUAGGUGCACUGUAGUUUAAUUUGGCGGAUAUAGGUCCUAAGGUGUAUAUAUGCCGAUGGGUGUGCCCUAAUGGUAGAUGGCUGACCUGCCCGAGGAACCGUCGACUGCGUCCUCGACAGCUCCUCCUCCUCAAGU
This 287-nucleotide long non-coding RNA is filed under the name Oryza brachyantha (malo sina). RNAcentral's name for it is "long non-coding RNA (OBRA_LNC000590)". Lineage: Eukaryota; Viridiplantae; Streptophyta; Magnoliopsida; Poales; Poaceae. The record is from RNAcentral.